CCUUAAUAGCGGCUGCACCAUUAGGAUGUCCUGAUCCAACAUCGAGGUCGUAAACCCCCUCGUCGAUAGGGACUCUGGGAGAGGAUUGCGCUGUUAUCCCUAGGGUAACUCGGUCCGUUGAUCGGCGUUCGCCGGAUCAUUUUUGGUCAGAAAUUCUGGUGCUUAGAGUUGUGGCUCUUGGUUGUGGGGGCAGUGCCCCCAGUCCACAUGGGGGCUUUGUUUUCCCCCGCGGUCGCCCCAACCAAAGACAUAGGGGCUAGGGGUCACUGUGUUUUUACUUGUUAAUUCAAGGUUACUUGACGUGAUCUGCCUGGUGUCUAAAGCUCCAUAGGGUCUUCUCGUCUUAUGUAUUUAUGUCCGCUUCUCCGCGGG
RNAcentral lists this ribosomal RNA (372 nucleotides) under Salmo trutta fario. RNAcentral's name for it is "partial 16S ribosomal RNA". The record is from RNAcentral. Lineage: Eukaryota; Metazoa; Chordata; Actinopteri; Salmoniformes; Salmonidae.